GGACAGAUGGUCGAGCGGUUUAAGGCACCGGUCUUGAAAACCGGCAAGGGGGUGACUCCUUCGCGAGUUCGAAUCUCGCUCUGUCCGCCA
Molecule: transfer RNA, 90 nt
Filed under: Holosporaceae bacterium
Lineage: Bacteria; Pseudomonadati; Pseudomonadota; Alphaproteobacteria; Holosporales; Holosporaceae
Description: tRNA-Ser
Rfam family: tRNA
About the family: Transfer RNA (tRNA) molecules are approximately 80 nucleotides in length. Their secondary structure includes four short double-helical elements and three loops (D, anti-codon, and T loops). Further hydrogen bonds mediate the characteristic L-shaped molecular structure. tRNAs have two regions of fundamental functional importance: the anti-codon, which is responsible for specific mRNA codon recognition, and the 3' end, to which the tRNAs corresponding amino acid is attached (by aminoacyl-tRNA synthetases). tRNAs cope with the degeneracy of the genetic code in two manners: having more than one tRNA (with a specific anti-codon) for a particular amino acid; and 'wobble' base-pairing, i.e. permitting non-standard base-pairing at the 3rd anti-codon position.
Source: RNAcentral